AACAUUUGAUAAGUAUUAUCUAAAUGUUUAAUUAUUUACUGGGAAGCGAUCAUCAUUAUAUUUUACUAUAACAGACCCUGCGGUGACUAACCUGACACGGUUUCGCAUUAAAUAAUAGAGAGUUAUUGAGUGCCUACAUCCUACACGAUGAAACGACGAAUAGUCUAAGGCCCGCGUACACAGUAUAAGCCAUUUUUUUUUUUACAUACAAGGUAAUUUCGUUUACGGAAUGUUAUUGUUUGUCGGAUCUUUAUCGUUUUCAAACAAGUACCCUCCGUAGAUACCCGGUUUUUAAAAUGUCGUUAGGGC
Cinara cedri is the source of this 309-nucleotide non-coding RNA. NCBI's taxonomy places the organism in Eukaryota, Metazoa, Arthropoda, Insecta, Hemiptera, Aphididae. The record is from the annotation of a GenBank genome assembly.